Syzygium oleosum is the source of this 707-nucleotide long non-coding RNA. RefSeq lists it as uncharacterized. The transcript has 2 exons. The record is from RefSeq and is a predicted model, not a curated record. Lineage: Eukaryota; Viridiplantae; Streptophyta; Magnoliopsida; Myrtales; Myrtaceae.
ACUUUCGUGGGGAAGGAGAAGAAGCAGAGGAGUGGAGAGGAGCGGCCAGAUUUUUGCUUCAUCGGACAACAACAUGGACGUCUUCAUACCCGAAGACUACCUCCUCAAACGACGCCAGUCCAAGAAGUCGCAGCAGAUCAGGCAGAGGCUCCUGGAGGUCCGGACCGAGUCGAGGCCGCAAGCCUCCGCUGGAGAGGCGUCGCCCGGCGGCAGUGGCAGGGGGAGCGUGAGCUCGCCAGCCAAGGAGCAGCCACGAGAUCGAGCCCCUGAAGAGGUGGCAAGAGAGCGUUACUGUCACCAAGCUCACUUGAUGUAACUUGCCGCUGUCCAUCUCAAGUCUGGCCUGUCUGGACCGCGUCAAUAGACAAGUAUGAAAAUAAAAGCUGAGAGUCAGGGUUGACUUUUUGGGUCAAGUGGGCGUAAUCCUAGAAACUUGUUCACUCCUUGUCCAGCGCAUCAUCAGCAACAAAACCCCACGCAGCGAUGAUGCUUCUUGAUUUAACAAAAGAAAAAUGGAGAUACAGGUGAAGAGAUCAGUGGGUUGUGAUCCACAAACGUCGCCUCUAAUGUUGCAGACAAAAGUCAAAAGAUUGGAUCAGCCUCACAAAAUAUCUGUUAUGUCUUCUCCUUUUCAUUUCAUAGUUGUCUGAAACAUUUUUCGGUUGUCCAGUUCGAGAGCAAUUAAAGAUUAGGAACUUCCUGGACCA